RNAcentral lists this transfer RNA (78 nucleotides) under Georhizobium profundi. RNAcentral's name for it is "tRNA-Arg". The record is from RNAcentral. Lineage: Bacteria; Pseudomonadati; Pseudomonadota; Alphaproteobacteria; Hyphomicrobiales; Rhizobiaceae.
GCGCUCGGGCAUUCCAAUAUGGCUGAUUACAUACUACGAAUCUGGGGGUCAGAGGUUCGAAUCCUUUCGGGCGCGCCA